GACGAACGCUGGCGGCGUGCUUAACACAUGCAAGUCGAACGGAAAGGCCUCUUUCGGGGGGUACUCGAGUGGCGAACGGGUGAGUAACACGUGAGUAACCUGCCCUUGACUUUGGGAUAACUUCAGGAAACUGGGGCUAAUACCGGAUAGGAGCUCCUGCUGCAUGGUGGGGGUUGGAAAGUUUCGGCGGUUGGGGAUGGACUCGCGGCUUAUCAGCUUGUUGGUGGGGUAGUGGCUUACCAAGGCUUUGACGGGUAGCCGGCCUGAGAGGGUGACCGGCAAAUUGGGGAAUGAGAGACGCCCAAGACUCCUGGGGGGGGAAGGAGGGGGAAUUAUGGAAAAAGGGGGGGAGGCCUGUGCCAGCACGGCGGGGGGGGGGGUGCGGGCCUUGGGGUUGUAACCCCUUUCCGCCAGGGAGAAAGUUUGGUGGGGGGUGGGGGGAAAAAGAAGAACCGGCAAACUAGGGC
This 467-nucleotide ribosomal RNA is filed under the name uncultured bacterium. RNAcentral describes it as "partial 16S ribosomal RNA". It matches the Rfam family "Bacterial small subunit ribosomal RNA", at positions 28 to 508 of the family's 1533-position model. The record is from RNAcentral.